UCCAAACCUAAAGGCAAACGCAUAUGGCAGCAAAGGAAGAACCAUUUUUAAAGUCUUCUGAUUGUGUGAUCACACCAACAGCAAGAGACAAAGGCCAGUAACAAGAUAUUUCACACCUUUGUGGCUAACAGACUGGCAGUAAUACAUGAUUUGUCAAAGGAGGAUCAAUUGAAGUAUGUGGACUCCUGCAGAAGAUGCUUCACGAGGAUUAAACACUGAAUCACUCCUGAAGUCAAAAAAGAUGGUUACAAGGAAUUCCUGAAUGACGACGAAUCUCAAUGGCCUCAAAAUCCAGAUGAAACAUCACAAAGUUAUCUCCCUUUAGAUCAGGGGUAUUCAAUUCUGCCUGUGGGAGGAACGAACAUGUAAAACUCUACCUUCUUGAUUAAAAGCCAUGUGAAAUCUC
Molecule: long non-coding RNA, 406 nt
Organism: Micropterus dolomieu (smallmouth bass)
Lineage: Eukaryota; Metazoa; Chordata; Actinopteri; Centrarchiformes; Centrarchidae
Exons: 2
Source: RefSeq, a predicted model, not a curated record